GUACCUACGGGACGCAGCAGUAGGGAAUUUUGCGCAAUGGGCGAAAGCCUGACGCAGCAACGCCGCGUGAUCGAGACGCCCUUCGGGGUGUAAAGAUCUGUCAGUGGGGACGAAACUUGACGGUACCCACAGAGGAAGCACCGGCUAACUCCGUGCCAGCAGCCGCGGUAAUACGGAGGAUGCGAGCGUUAUCCGGAUUUAUUGGGUUUAAAGGGUGCGUAGGCGGAAUGCCAAGUCAGCGGUAAAAUCGCGGGGCUCAACCUCGCUCCGCCGUUGAAACUGGCGUUCUUGAGUGGGCGAGAAGU
RNAcentral lists this ribosomal RNA (305 nucleotides) under uncultured bacterium. RNAcentral's name for it is "bacterial SSU rRNA". It matches the Rfam family "Bacterial small subunit ribosomal RNA", at positions 333 to 658 of the family's 1533-position model. The record is from RNAcentral.